Molecule: non-coding RNA, 1993 nt
Organism: Paramormyrops kingsleyae
Lineage: Eukaryota; Metazoa; Chordata; Actinopteri; Osteoglossiformes; Mormyridae
Source: RefSeq, a predicted model, not a curated record
UAGUUUGCAAACCCCACAGACUAUUUACAAAGUAGCCUAAUAAAACUGUCACAUAGGUGUAAAUGCGUGUGCGGACUUGUCUGAAAUCGAAAAUCUCACGCCAGCCGGCUGACCAAAGUUGACAGCCCCGAGUUAUUAUUUAAUGUGCAAUACAACAUUAACCCAAACUAAAAUUGAGUGAAAUUAAAAACUAUUCCUUUUUAACUUUGCUGCUAGAAGAACUAUGAAAAUGGACGUAGUUCAUGGGUUAGUUGCUAUUCUGACUGCAGCCAUUUUAUUUCAUUGUUUGGUUAAAAAAAACUAAUGUGAAACAUGUUUGAUGAAUGAUGCACUCUAUAUGAUUCCAAAUUACCAGAAAAAAAACCAUAUUUUUUUCUUUUUUGGGAAUCCUGAUUUACUUUAUAUUUUAGUUUCUUUUUUUUAAUCCACACUAUUUAGGAAUAAGAUUGUAGCUGUCACCAGGAAAUUGGUGCUCAUGCAUUUAUUUAAUAUUCAUUUGUAUUUUGUUCAGUGAAUGUAUUUUGUUUCAUUUUGUUGGCAACAUGUUAUUAUUUGUAAUAUUACUUGUAAAAGGUUUAAUGUAGAGGGUUCCUUGUAACAGUGCCUCCCACUGUUCAGCAGAACAGUCUAUUUACGCAAUCACAUGACCUACUGUAGCGUAAUGAGCAGCGGAAGGAAGGCCGGGUUAGCAAGCAGAGUGAAGUCAGAGUGAACAACGGCUAAGAAAAGAAAAUCAAAAAGGUUUGAAAGAAAGAUGUAAUGCAGUAAUGUCUCCUAAACUGUGGUCAGAAGGAGCACACGGUAUGUCAUUGUUUUGCCUUUUCUUGUUUUAAUAUGUAUAUUUAAUAUGUAUGUUCGUUGAGUUUUCGCUGUCCUGUAUACAUAGUAGAAGCGUGUAGAUUGCUUAUUUAAGACCCGUAAAUUAUCAUUGUAUGUGUAAUGGUAGUGUUUCUUUAUUCCAGUUUUUCACUGUGGUUCAUGGUGUGAUUUGUUACGUCGAUGGAAAAAUAAAUAAAUAAACAAAAUUACCGCGCUAAACAUCAGUUGAAUCGUGAACUAACUUCUGACAGAAGAAAACACUAGGAGCCAUUAUAAAGAUUAUGGGAUGCAGUGAGGCCCACAAUACACUCACAUCAACACUGCAGUAAUAAAGAUACAGCACUGAACACAAUGGAAAGGCGGGGUCUCACUCUGACGUCCCUCUCCUUCCUCUGGUGAUGAGCUCCACGUACUGCGCUGCGCCCCCUGCUGGCAGCUUAUUUGUUUCUCUCCCCCCUUUAAAGAUGCUGUGCACCUGUUCACUUGGGGGCGAAUCUAUAAGACCUUUCCGGUUAAACCUGUACGGGGGCAAUAAAGGAUUGUGACAUCAACUAGAUUCAAACUCACUGGCUCCAGUUGACCUGCCAGUCACAGCUGGGUCACUUUGCAACCAUGAACUUAGAGAAAUGUUCUGUAAUUAAGGAAGGAUGGAAAAGCACUGCCUGUGUUUGAAUGAAAAAUGAUGUGCUGGAAAAAUAUUCAGAAAUGCUGUGUAAAUGUUUACAUUUAUUUAAACAUUCUGGCAAGAGCAUUCAUCAAUUUAAAAAAAACUUUACUGUAUGGUAUUGUUUAUCUGACUGAAAUGCUGAGCUAAAAUACAGCUUUUGACUAAGUCUAGUUAAGGUGAUUUUUCUAAAGCUGUGUGUUCAUCCACCUACUCUUACAGGAUUACAGUGGGUUUCAGCCAGUGGGUCUCGGCCCCUUUAGGGGGCCAUUGGCAUUCCUGUGUCUGGGGGUUUUUGUUUUUUACAUUGUUAUAAUAUGCAGACGUAACUAAAUAUUAUUUUGAGUUAUUGUAUAUUAUUCUUGUGAUAAAUGCAAAAAAAUAAACCUAUUUAGGCCGAGCUUGUCGCCUGCUCAGACUAAACUAACUAAUAACUGGCUACCAACACAACUAGCUCAGUAUUUUCAUAAAUUCAAAGCAAAUCAAAAUAAAGCGUUUCUCUUUCCAUCA